UACGUAGGUGACAAGCGUUGUCCGGAUUUACUGGGCGUAAAGAGCGCGCAGGCGGUCGUUCAAGUCGAGUGUGAAAGCCCCCGGCUCAACUGGGGAGGGUCACUCGAUACUGAUCGACUCGAAGGCAGGAGAGGGUAGUGGAAUUCCCGGUGUAGUGGUGAAAUGCGUAGAUAUCGGGAGGAACACCAGUGGCGAAGGCGACUACCUGGCCCAUUCUUGACGCUGAGGCGCGAAAGCUAGGGGAGCGAACGGG
RNAcentral lists this ribosomal RNA (253 nucleotides) under uncultured bacterium. RNAcentral describes it as "partial 16S ribosomal RNA". It matches the Rfam family "Bacterial small subunit ribosomal RNA", at positions 524 to 776 of the family's 1533-position model. The record is from RNAcentral.